AUACUUACCUGUGUAGGAGACACCAUGAUUCUGUAGAUGGUUUUCCCAGGGUGAGGCUUGUCCAUUGCAUUCUGGUUGUGCAGACCCCUGCAAUUUCCCCAUAUGUGGGAAACUUGACUGUAAAAUUUGUAGUGGGGGACUGCAUUAGUGCUCUCCCCUG
Small nuclear RNA from Choloepus didactylus (southern two-toed sloth), 160 nucleotides. RefSeq annotates it as U1 spliceosomal RNA. The record is from RefSeq and is a predicted model, not a curated record. NCBI's taxonomy places the organism in Eukaryota, Metazoa, Chordata, Mammalia, Pilosa, Megalonychidae. The transcript has a single exon.